GGACGUGAGGGCAAUCUGGCUGUGUCAUCUGUCACCCCAUUGAUCGCUAGUGUUGAUUCAGCGGAUCUGGCUGGCAGGUGUCCCCUUCCUCCCUCAGCACUCCAUGUGCAUCCCUCCUGAAGCUACGCACUCAUUCAAAGAGGAAGUCCUUCUACAAUAGAGGAGGACUGUUCUUCAGUCAAAGGUAUAUAACUAGCUAUGCUCCCAUGCUAGAACCUCCAAUCAAGUUCUCAAGGUCCAUUUUUUAGGAGAACAUAGAAAGCUUCCAAGACUCCAGACACAUCUAAAGGAGGUACAGCAUGUGGCACUCUGCUUUUCUUU
Ursus americanus (American black bear) is the source of this 321-nucleotide unclassified non-coding RNA. Its record names the gene 7SK. It matches the Rfam family "7SK RNA". From Rfam's summary of the family: 7SK was discovered as an abundant small nuclear RNA in the mid-70s but a possible function has only recently been suggested. Two independent studies have found that 7SK RNA binds the CDK9/cyclin T complex (known as elongation factor P-TEFb). P-TEFb activates transcription by phosphorylating the C-terminal domain of RNA polymerase II. The record is from Ensembl. NCBI's taxonomy places the organism in Eukaryota, Metazoa, Chordata, Mammalia, Carnivora, Ursidae.